AUUGCCUUAGUAACGGCGAGUGAAGCGGCAAAAGCUCAAAUUUGAAAUCUGGCACCUUCGGUGUCCGAGUUGUAAUUUGAAGAAGGUAACUUUGGAGUUGGCUCUUGUCUAUGUUCCUUGGAACAGGACGUCACAGAGGGUGAGAAUCCCGUGCGAUGAGAUGCCCAAUUCUAUGUAAAGUGCUUUCGAAGAGUCGAGUUGUUUGGGAAUGCAGCUCUAAGUGGGUGGUAAAUUCCAUCUAAAGCUAAAUAUUGGCGAGAGACCGAUAGCGAACAAGUACAGUGAUGGAAAGAUGAAAAGAACUUUGAAAAGAGAGUGAAAAAGUACGUGAAAUUGUUGAAAGGGAAGGGCUUGAGAUCAGACUUGGUAUUUUGCGAUCCUUUCCUUCUUGGUUGGGUUCCUCGCAGCUUACUGGGCCAGCAUCGGUUUGGAUGGUAGGAUAAUGACUAAGGAAUGUGGCUCUACUUCGGUGGAGUGUUAUAGCCUUGGUUGAUACUGCCUGU
RNAcentral lists this ribosomal RNA (503 nucleotides) under Debaryomyces hansenii. Its description in RNAcentral is "LSU rRNA". It matches the Rfam family "Eukaryotic large subunit ribosomal RNA", at positions 74 to 582 of the family's 3401-position model. The record is from RNAcentral. Lineage: Eukaryota; Fungi; Ascomycota; Pichiomycetes; Serinales; Debaryomycetaceae.